Ceratosolen solmsi marchali is the source of this 381-nucleotide long non-coding RNA. RefSeq lists it as uncharacterized. The record is from RefSeq and is a predicted model, not a curated record. The transcript has 3 exons. Lineage: Eukaryota; Metazoa; Arthropoda; Insecta; Hymenoptera; Agaonidae.
CGUGUUUCUUCUUUCUCUGCCAUAUUGAUUGUACUUCGACGUAAGUGAGGAGAAGUUUGAGGAUUUGUAAUCCAAACUAAUCGAAAAUUCUAGUGUAAUUUUGAUUUCACAAAUCAAUAGAUAUGAGAGCUAAGUGGCGCAAAAAGAGGAUGCGGAGGUUAAAGCGUAAAAGGAGGAAGAUGCGUGCGAGGUCCAAAUAAUUUUCAUCAUUUUACACUUCUGUGCUAGUAAUAUGUUUAUCAAGUAAUAUCAACGAGAGUCAAGGAUCUUCUCUUCAAUAAAUUCAAAAUUUUUUAAUCAUGUUGUGGCACAGAGAAUUAUUUUAUAUCCGAAGGAUCUUGUGUAAUUUGGUUUAAUAAAAAUAACUUGAAGAUAAGUUUA